CCGGCUGUUCCAUCAACCGUAACCUAAGGGUGCAUGCAUGGUUGGUAACGACC
Candidatus Burkholderia brachyanthoides is the source of this 53-nucleotide non-coding RNA. The record is from Rfam. NCBI's taxonomy places the organism in Bacteria, Pseudomonadati, Pseudomonadota, Betaproteobacteria, Burkholderiales, Burkholderiaceae.